GAUGAACGCUAGCGACAGGCCUAACACAUGCAAGUCGAGGGGCAGCACGGUGUAGCAAUACACGGGUGGCGACCGGCGCACGGGUGAGUAACGCGUAUGCAACCUGCCUACUACAAGGGGAUAACCCGUUGAAAGACGGACUAAUACCCUAUAACACAGGGAAUCCGCAUGGAUAUAUUUGUUAAAGAUUUAUCGGUAGUAGAUGGGCAUGCGUUCCAUUAGCUUGUUGGUGAGGUAACGGCUCACCAAGGCAACGAUGGAUAGGGGAACUGAGAGGUUGAUCCCCCACACUGGAACUGAGACACGGUCCAAACUCCUACGGGAGGCAGCAGUGAGGAAUAUUGGUCAAUGGACGAGAGUCUGAACCAGCCAAGUCGCGUGAAGGAAGACGGCCCUACGGGUUGUAAACUUCUUUUGUAAGGGAAUAAAUAGUCUUACGAGCUAAGACGUUGCAGGUACCUUACGAAUAAGGAUCGGCUAACUCCGUGCCAGCAGCCGCGGUAAUACGGAGGAUCCGAGCGUUAUCCGGAUUUAUUGGGUUUAAAGGGUGCGCAGGCGGCAUGUUAAGUCGGCGGUGAAAUUUUGCAGCUCAACUGUAAAAGAGCCUUCGAAACUGGCAAGCUUGAGUGUGGAUGAAGUAGGCGGAAUUUGUGGUGUAGCGGUGAAAUGCAUAGAUAUCACAAAGAACACCGAUUGCGCAGGCAGCUUACUAAACCAUAACUGACGCUCAUGCACGAAGGCGUGGGGAUCAAACAGGAUUAGAUACCCUGGUAGUCCACGCAGUAAACGAUGAUUACUGGCUGUUUGCGAUACAAUAUAAGCGGCUGAGCGAAAGCGUUAAGUAAUCCACCUGGGGAGUACGUUCGCAAGAAUGAAACUCAAAGGAAUUGACGGGGGCCCGCACAAGCGGAGGAACAUGUGGUUUAAUUCGAUGAUACGCGAGGAACCUUACCCGGGCUUGAAAUGCAUCUGAUGUAUUCGGAAACGGAUAUUCCCUAUGGGGCAGAUGUGUAGGUGCUGCAUGGUUGUCGUCAGCUCGUGCCGUGAGGUGUCGGCUUAAGUGCCAUAACGAGCGCAACCCUCAUCGUCAGUUACCAUCAGGUAAAGCUGGGGACUCUGGCGAGACUGCCAUCGUAAGAUGCGAGGAAGGUGGGGAUGACGUCAAAUCAUCAUGCCCCUUAUGACCUGGGCUACACACGUACUACAAUGGCAGGAAACAGAGGGAAGCAAUACCGCGAGGAGGAGCAAAUCCCUAAAAACUGUCCCAGUUCGGAUUGCAGGCUGCAACUCGCCUGCAUGAAGUCGGAAUUGCUAGUAAUCGCGAAUCAGCAUGUCGCGGUGAAUACGUUCCCGGACCUUGUACACACCGCCCGUCACACCAUGGGAGUCGGUAACACCCGAAGCCGGUUGCCUAACCGCAAGGAGGGCGCCGUCGAAGGUGGGAUUGAUGACUGGGGUG
RNAcentral lists this ribosomal RNA (1459 nucleotides) under uncultured bacterium. RNAcentral's name for it is "partial 16S ribosomal RNA". It matches the Rfam family "Bacterial small subunit ribosomal RNA". The record is from RNAcentral.